Canis lupus familiaris (dog) is the source of this 1426-nucleotide long non-coding RNA. RefSeq lists it as uncharacterized. NCBI's taxonomy places the organism in Eukaryota, Metazoa, Chordata, Mammalia, Carnivora, Canidae. The transcript has 3 exons. The record is from RefSeq and is a predicted model, not a curated record.
CGCAGGCAAGGCUGCUGUCCCCGGCCGGGCUGGGGGCCCCGGCCUCUCCAGGCUCCCCACGCGCAGGGCCGGGAUGUCACCGAGGGAACGGGUGUGAGCACUUGGAGAAAUUGCUAAAUGCUCAAAACCCAUAGAUUGGGCUAAUAGAAGAGCCUGUACCAGACAUCUGUUGGUGUAUUUCUGCUGGACCCAAAGAUAUACUUCAAUCAACCUGCAACCCAUUCCAACAGAGAGUCAGGUGCAGCUGGUGGCUUUUCUUUAAACCACGUUGGACUUGAAGACCACACACCUCCUCCAGUCUUCCUAUCUUUCCACUCCCGCUCACAAGACUCUGACAUCAGAAGUCUGCGAUCCAGAUGCUGCCGGACUCAGCGCCAGGGCACCACGAAGGAGGCAUCACGCUCCCAUCCAGCCACCUCAUUUUAAGAAGGAUGCUGCAUGGAGGGAAUGAAUUGCAUCUGGGGAAAGAGUAUCCAGGUGGCAGAAAUUAAAAAGAAAGAAAACACACCCACGCCACAAAUUGGAGAACAGAUUGAGGAAGAGACGGAGUAUUUUAGAUUUGGAAUAUUUUAAGUGGCACUAGGAAGGAAAGAUGCUCCAAUCUGCCUCGGUCGCUUCAGGGGGCAGGAUCAGCGGUAACUCCUGAAAUCUCAGGGAGACAAACCUGACUCAAUGGAAGACAGUAUUUUCUCACAACAGGGGCUGUUUAGCUGUGGGAGAGAAGGCCGACUGCGUCUAGUUCUUAGAGUUUAUGUGUUGUCAGGGACUCUGGAGAAACAGGUCAGGAUUCCUAUUUGGAGGGAAUAGAUAAUUACACGAUCUCUAAUGCGUAACUAUGAUUUCUAUUCCACUUCCUAACUCUGUGAUUUCUAUCCGACUUUCUUUUUCUAGGACAAAAUUUUACAACCGAAACAUUAGGAUAUUCAAAUUCAUCUAAUACUUUUAUGCACAAUCAGACCAUGCUGCCGUAGAAACGUGUGUGGUGGAGCAUCUGACUCACAAGGAGCUCUCAAAGGCCUAUUCCUAGUUCCAGAAUUUCAGAGCAAAACUUUUGUGACCCCAUCUUUUGACAGUUAAAAAAAAUGCUUGUUUUUUUCAACGUCAACUGUAAUUUCAAAAUACCUCUUGAUUUAGGUUAGUUUAUUACUAAGAACUCCUCUCUCCCCACCCUCCCUAUUUGCUAGUAAGGCUUAGCCAUGAGGAGGCUAGGUUAAGGAGAAUUACGUGGAGAAACAGGAAGAAGGUGCCAAACCUCUCCUGGCCCAGGUUACUGAGACAGGAGUCCUGCACAGACAGGAAGGGGGAGGAAAAGAAACCCCUCCUCCUCUGGCGUAGGAAGCUGGAAGGAAGGGAGAGAAAAAGCAAGGGAAAUAGAGAAUGUGCCCAGAAAUCUUCAUGGAGGCCUCAGCUCAGAGUGGUGAGGAGU